CUAUUAUUGAUGGAAAGUCACAUGUUGAAGGGCUUUGCUGACAUAUCAGAAGUAGCUUGAGCACUAGAAACAGUACAGGUAGUGCAGCUCUGCACUCGUGCCAACAUAGCUACAUUAUUCCCUGCUCUAUUUUAUAACACACCUAAU
Molecule: long non-coding RNA, 147 nt
Organism: Oxyura jamaicensis (ruddy duck)
Lineage: Eukaryota; Metazoa; Chordata; Aves; Anseriformes; Anatidae
Exons: 4
Source: RefSeq, a predicted model, not a curated record